CAAAGAUUAAGCCAUGCAUGUCUAAGCACAAGCCGAAAAUGGUGAAGCCGCGAAUGGCUCAUUACAACAGCCUUUGUUUAUUUGAUCUUGAAAUCCUACUUGGAUAACUGUGGUAAUUCUAGAGCUAAUACACGCAAACAAGCUUCGGCCUUGCGGCUGGAGUGCAUUUAUUAGUGCAAAACCAAUCGGGCCUCGGCCCGUCGUUUGGUGAAUCUGAAUAACUGAGCCGAUCGCACGGUCUCUGCACCGGCGACGUAUCAUUCAAGUGUCUGCCCUAUCAACUUUCGAUGGUAGUUUAUGUGACUACCAUGGUUAUAACGGGUAACGGAGAAUAAGGGUUCGACUCCGGAGAAGCAGCCUGAGAAACGGCUACUACAUCCAAGGAAGG
This 388-nucleotide ribosomal RNA is filed under the name Greeffiella sp. 9L17C15. Its description in RNAcentral is "bacterial SSU rRNA". It matches the Rfam family "Eukaryotic small subunit ribosomal RNA", at positions 38 to 425 of the family's 1831-position model. Lineage: Eukaryota; Metazoa; Nematoda; Chromadorea; Desmoscolecida; Desmoscolecidae. The record is from RNAcentral.